This 497-nucleotide ribosomal RNA is filed under the name uncultured bacterium. RNAcentral's name for it is "partial 16S ribosomal RNA". It matches the Rfam family "Bacterial small subunit ribosomal RNA", at positions 28 to 507 of the family's 1533-position model. The record is from RNAcentral.
GAUGAACGCUGGCGGCGUGCCUAAUACAUGCAAGUCGAGCGAACGGACGAGAAGCUUGCUUCUCUGAUGUUAGCGGCGGACGGGUGAGUAACACGUGGAUAACCUACCUAUAAGACUGGGAUAACUUCGGGAAACCGGAGCUAAUACCUGCUAAUAUUUUGAACCGCAUGGUUCAAAAGUGAAAGACGGUCUUGCUGUCACUUAUAGAUGGAUCCGCGCUGCAUUAGCUAGUUGGUAAGGUAACGGCUUACCAAGGCAACGAUGCAUAGCCGACCUGAGAGGGUGAUCGGCCACACUGGAACUGAGAAACGGUCCAGACUCCUACGGGAGGCAGCAGUAGGGAAUCUUCCGCAAUGGGCGAAAGCCUGACGGAGCAACGCCGCGUGAGUGAUGAAGGUCUUCGGAUCGUAAAACUCUGUUAUUAGGGAAGAACAUAUGUGUAAGUAACUGUGCACAUCUUGACGGUACCUAAUCAGAAAGCCACGGCUAACUACGUG